RNAcentral lists this ribosomal RNA (256 nucleotides) under uncultured archaeon. RNAcentral describes it as "partial 16S ribosomal RNA". It matches the Rfam family "Bacterial small subunit ribosomal RNA", at positions 521 to 776 of the family's 1533-position model. The record is from RNAcentral.
UAAUACAGAGGGUGCGAGCGUUAAUCGGAAUUACUGGGCGUAAAGCGCACGUAGACGGUUUUGUAAGUCAGAUGUGAAAUCCCCGGGCUCAACCUGGGAACUGCAUUUGAGACUGCAUGGCUAGAGUAUGGAAGAGGGAAGUGGAAUUUCCGGUGUAGCGGUGAAAUGCGUAGAUAUCGGAAGGAACACCAGUGGCGAAAGCGACUUCCUGGUCCAAUACUGACGUUCAUGUGCGAAAGCGUGGGGAGCAAACAGG